This 2862-nucleotide long non-coding RNA is filed under the name Gadus morhua (Atlantic cod). RNAcentral describes it as "lncRNA (ENSGMOG00000028144.1)". Lineage: Eukaryota; Metazoa; Chordata; Actinopteri; Gadiformes; Gadidae. The record is from RNAcentral.
UAUGACUGUUGUCAUUAAACGUCAUUUGCUUUUUGUAAAGUCUGCACCCCAAACAGCGUCAACUUUACAAAAAACAAAUGACUCUUUCUUCCUGAAGCAAAUCUGUUUUGUCCUAAUGUUUCAGCUGAGGUAUUCUCUAGUUGUCUUGUUAAAGUUAUUUUAAUAAAGUAUGAUACUUAGUAUUGGCGACUGUCUCACAAAUUUCAGUCACCAAGCAGCUGAGUAGGAGAAACUAACGUGCCCGACGCACUAGAUGUCCAAACUUCCAAACAAUCAAGUUUCAGUUUAGGUUGCUUUAUUUAAUCUUCACAGUAUCCAAGCAUUAAAAACAUCAGUGAGUCAGACAGUUCAUAUCCAUAUUAUCCACAGUAGCGAUAGAAUCCACAGGUUCAGCAGUAAUAUAUAAACGAGACUUCAAGUAUAUCAGGAUAAAGUGCAUAAGCGAGGAUAAAGUGCAAGUGCAGACUCCCAGCAGGAUAAAGUGCAAAGUGCCAAAAAUGGGAAGCAUAAAGCGGUCAGCAAAAAGUAGGCUUCCCCCAUCACCCACUCACUAACUAACUCUCACCUAGCGAGUGAACAGGUGAUAUUUCAAAUCACUACUGCCACCACCACCACGUGACCAAUUAGUGCACGUCAUCACGUAGACACACCCAAACACAAGACCCAAGCCUUUGCCUGUCCGUAACACUAAGUGUGCUCAGUAAAACUUGUGUGAUUGACAUAGGAUGUUUUAAAUUGUAGGCUUUGGGCAGAUUGAGACAACGUAUGGAUGGAUUGCGCCAACACCAUGAUGAGUGUGCAAAAAGACAUCAUUUGGUUCAAGACAGCAUACCUGUUAGUACUUCUGGUUUGCUUUUGGAAGACCUGCAACAGGAAGAGCCAGAGCCACCUCCUCUAGAAAGGACAGACAGCAUAUUCUUAACCAAGAAGAUGCUGAACAUUACUGAGACUGAGUCCUCCAGUAGUGAAAGUGUAAGUGACGAGGACAAGGAGUAUGUCCCUCAAAAAUCGGAGGAAUCAGAUGGCUCCUCUGAUGAAGAGCCUUUGAAAGUGCCGAUUCCACCCAGAAAAGUGUACAAGAGGGUCAGACAACUGCCAGAGGAAAGUGAAAGUGUAGUGGAGAGUAGCAGUACUUCCGUGGUUGUAAUGAACGUAAAAAAACUGAAGGAUGGGACAAAAAAGUACCAUCAGAAAAGAAACUACUGCCUUUUUUGUGAUAAAUGUUACCCAAAGCUUGCGCGCCAUCUCGAACAGAGGCAUGCUGAUGAGGCAGAAGUGGCCAGAGCACUGGCAUGUCCAAAAAGAUCUAAGGAAAGAAGGCUGCAGUUAGACUACUUACGGAAAAGGGGGAACCGAGCCCAUAACGUAGAGGCACUUAGAGAAGGGAAAGGUGUGGUAGUGCCUUGCAAACAAUCCAGUGGUGCCAAUGCAGAUGCCUCAGACUAUCACCACUGUCCCAAUUGUCAAGUACUUUUCAAAAAGAAGUUCAUGUGGAAGCAUAUGAAACUGUGUGCUCUUUCACAGAAAUGUGGUAAAGCUAAGCCAGGAAAAACGCGAGUUCAGUCUUUGUGUGCAUUUGCUCAGCCAGUUCCUGCUGGUGUGACAACCAAAACAUGGAAAAUGAUAAGUAACAUGUGCCAGGACAAGAUCGCACAGGCAGUUCAAAAAGACAGAUGCAUAAUUGCAUUAGCACAGCAAAUGCUAAACAAGAAAGGAGCGUCACAGGAUGAGCAUAUCCGCGCAACACUAAGAGAGCUUGGAAGAUUAUUGCUGGCUGGACAGGAGGUCACUCCUCUGAAGAGUAUUGAGCAGUAUGUCAUGCCAUCAAAUUUCCAUCAUUUAAUCAGAGCAGUAAAGGUUGUUGCAGGUUAUGACGAGAAAACCAACACCAUCAAAAAGUCAUCUCUGGCACUAAAACUGGGACAUAGCCUAAAGAAAGUAGCAGACCUUGUUGCAUGUGAAGCCCUCAUAUCAGGAAAUCAAGACAAAGCAAAGCUGAUUGAAAACUUCCGCGAGAUAUAUAGAACACGGUGGAAUGAGUUCAUUUCUGCGUCUGCUUACCGAACACUGCAGGAAGCUAAAUGGAAUGCGCCUCAGCUUAUUCCAUUUACUGAUGACGUCAAAAAGUUGCACCUUCAUCUGGAUGAGAAACAGGAGGAGUACUCCAACGUGCUUUCCGGUGACCAGACGCCAAGAAACUGGACCAAUCUCGCCAAAGUGAUCCUUGCCAAAGUUAUCCUGUUCAAUCGGCGUCGACAAGGAGAGGUUUCCAAGAUGUUGUUGACGACCUACUUGUCCAGGGUGUCAACACCUGUACAUGAUGACAUCGCUCAUGCCUUAUCGGAGGUGGAAAAAAUUCUAUGCAAAUACUUUUCACGCAUGGAAGUAAGAGGGAAAAGAGGAAGGAAGGUGCCGGUGCUAUUGACCCCUGCUAUGGUCAAGUCAUUGGAUCUGCUUGCAAAGGAGAGAUCAAAUUGCGGGAUCCUACCUGACAAUGACUUCUUAUUCGCCAGGCCUGGCAGUGCAUCUCACUUAAAGGGGUCAGACUGCAUUCGUGUCUACGCAAGAGAAUGUGGAGCUGAGCAGCCGCAGACCCUCUCUUCGACGAAACUCAGAAAGCAAGUGGCCACCUUGAGCAAGGUGCUGAACCUUACAGACACCGAACUUGAUCAGUUGGCGGAGUUUUUAGGGCACGACAUAAGAAUCCACAGGCAGUAUUACCGCUUGCCAGAGGGGACUCUGCAAUUAGCCAAAAUAAGCAAAAUUCUGAUGGCAUGCGAGCAGGGAAAGUUGGCAGACUUCAAAGGGAAAACAUUGGAAGAGAUUACCAUAGAGCCCAGAGGUAAGAAGUGUAGGGUGUAG